RNAcentral lists this ribosomal RNA (629 nucleotides) under uncultured bacterium. RNAcentral describes it as "bacterial SSU rRNA". It matches the Rfam family "Bacterial small subunit ribosomal RNA", at positions 56 to 683 of the family's 1533-position model. The record is from RNAcentral.
UGCAGUCGAACGGUAACAUUUCUAGCUUGCUAGAAGAUGACGAGUGGCGGACGGGUGAGUAAUACUUAGGAAUAUGCCUUUGUGUGGGGGAUAACUAUUGGAAACGAUAGCUAAUACCGCAUAACGUCUUCGGACCAAAGGGGGCUUCGGCUCCCGCGCAAAGAGUAGCCUAAGCGAGAUUAGCUUGUUGGUGAGGUAAAGGCUCACCAAGGCGACGAUCUCUAGCUGUUCUGAGAGGAAGAUCAGCCACACUGGGACUGAGACACGGCCCAGACUCCUACGGGAGGCAGCAGUGGGGAAUAUUGCACAAUGGGGGCAACCCUGAUGCAGCCAUGCCGCGUGUGUGAAGAAGGCCUUCGGGUUGUAAAGCACUUUCAGUUGUGAGGAAAGGUUGAUGGUUAAUACCCAUCAGCUGUGACGUUAGCAACAGAAGAAGCACCGGCUAACUCCGUGCCAGCAGCCGCGGUAAUACGGAGGGUGCGAGCGUUAAUCGGAAUUACUGGGCGUAAAGCGCACGCAGGCGGUUAUAUAAGCUAGAUGUGAAAGCCCCGGGCUCAACCUGGGAAUAGCAUUUAGAACUGUAUGACUAGAGUCUUGGAGAGGGGAGUGGAAUUCCAGGUGUAGCGGUG